UACGAAGGGGGCGAGCGUUGUUCGGAUUUACUGGGCGUAAAGGGCGCGCAGGCGGCCACUCAAGUCAGGCGUGAAAGCCCCGGGCUUAACCUGGGAACUGCGUCUGGGACUGAGAGGCUAGAGAUCGGGAGAGGAGAGUGGAAUUCCCAGUGUAGAGGUGAAAUUCGUAGAUAUUGGGAAGAACACCAGUGGCGAAGGCGGCUCUCUGGACCGAUACUGACGCUGAGGCGCGAAAGCGUGGGGAGCAAACAGG
This 253-nucleotide ribosomal RNA is filed under the name uncultured bacterium. RNAcentral's name for it is "partial 16S ribosomal RNA". It matches the Rfam family "Bacterial small subunit ribosomal RNA", at positions 524 to 776 of the family's 1533-position model. The record is from RNAcentral.